CAAGGUUAACCGUAUAGGGGAGCCGCAGGGAAACCGAGUCUUAACUGGGCGUUAAGUUGCAGGGUAUAGACCCGAAACCCGGUGAUCUAGCCAUGGGCAGGUUGAAGGUUGGGUAACACUAACUGGAGGACCGAACCGACUAAUGUUGAAAAAUUAGCGGAUGACUUGUGGCUGGGGGUGAAAGGCCAAUCAAACCGGGAGAUAGCUGGUUCUCCCCGAAAGCUAUUUAGGUAGCGCCUCGUGAAUUCAUCUCCGGGGGUAGAGCACUGUUUCGGCAAGGGGGUCAUCCCGACUUACCAACCCGAUGCAAACUGCGAAUACCGGAGAAUGUUAUCACGGGAGACACACGGCGGGUGCUAACGUCCGUCGUGAAGAGGGAAACAACCCAGACCGCCAGCUAAGGUCCCAAAGUCAUGGUUAAGUGGGAAACGAUGUGGGAAGGCCCAGACAGCCAGGAUGUUGGCUUAGAAGCAGCCAUCAUUUAAAGAAAGCGUAAUAGCUCACUGGUCGAGUCGGCCUGCGCGGAAGAUGUAACGGGGCUAAACCAUGCACCGAAGCUGCGGCAGCGACACUAUGUGUUGUUGGGUAGGGGAGCGUUCUGUAAGCCUGCGAAGGUGUGCUGUGAGGCAUGCUGGAGGUAUCAGAAGUGCGAAUGCUGACAUAAGUAACGAUAAAGCGGGUGAAAAGCCCGCUCGCCGGAAGACCAAGGGUUCCUGUCCAACGUUAAUCGGGGCAGGGUGAGUCGACCCCUAAGGCGAGGCCGAAAGGCGUAGUCGAUGGGAAACAGGUUAAUAUUCCUGUACUUGGUGUUACUGCGAAGGGGGGACGGAGAAGGCUAUGUUAGCCGGGCGACGGUUGUCCCGGUUUAAGCAUGUAGGCUGGUUGUCCAGGCAAAUCCGGAUAAUCAAGGCUGAGGUGUGAUGACGAGGCACUACGGUGCUGAAGUAACAAAUGCCCUGCUUCCAGGAAAAGCCUCUAAGCAUCAGGUAACAUCAAAUCGUACCCCAAACCGACACAGGUGGUCAGGUAGAGAAUACCAAGGCGCUUGAGAGAACUCGGGUGAAGGAACUAGGCAAAAUGGUGCCGUAACUUCGGGAGAAGGCACGCUGGUGUGUAGGUGAAGUCCCUGCGGAUGGAGCUGAAACCAGUCGAAGAUACCAGCUGGCUGCAACUGUUUAUUAAAAACACAGCACUGUGCAAACACGAAAGUGGACGUAUACGGUGUGACGCCUGCCCGGUGCCGGAAGGUUAAUUGAUGGGGUUAUCCGUAAGGAGAAGCUCUUGAUCGAAGCCCCGGUAAACGGCGGCCGUAACUAUAACGGUCCUAAGGUAGCGAAAUUCCUUGUCGGGUAAGUUCCGACCUGCACGAAUGGCGUAAUGAUGGCCAGGCUGUCUCCACCCGAGACUCAGUGAAAUUGAACUCGCUGUGAAGAUGCAGUGUACCCGCGGCAAGACGGAAAGACCCCGUGAACCUUUACUAUAGCUUGACACUGAACAUUGAGCCUUGAUGUGUAGGAUAGGUGGGAGGCUUUGAAG
RNAcentral lists this ribosomal RNA (1536 nucleotides) under human gut metagenome. RNAcentral's name for it is "bacterial LSU rRNA". It matches the Rfam family "Bacterial large subunit ribosomal RNA", at positions 641 to 2162 of the family's 2925-position model. The record is from RNAcentral.